RNAcentral lists this ribosomal RNA (2933 nucleotides) under Salmonella enterica. Its description in RNAcentral is "bacterial LSU rRNA". It matches the Rfam family "Bacterial large subunit ribosomal RNA". Lineage: Bacteria; Pseudomonadati; Pseudomonadota; Gammaproteobacteria; Enterobacterales; Enterobacteriaceae. The record is from RNAcentral.
GGGUUGUGAGGUUAAGCGACCAAGCGUACACGGUGGAUGCCCUGGCAGUCAGAGGCGAUGAAGGACGUGCUAAUCUGCGAAAAGCGCCGGUAAGGUGAUAUGAACCGUUAUAACCGGCGAUGUCCGAAUGGGGAAACCCAGUGUGACUCGUCACACUAUCAUUAACUGAAUCCAUAGGUUAAUGAGGCGAACCGGGGGAACUGAAACAUCUAAGUACCCCGAGGAAAAGAAAUCAACCGAGAUUCCCCCAGUAGCGGCGAGCGAACGGGGAGGAGCCCAGAGCCUGAAUCAGCAUGUGUGUUAGUGGAAGCGUCUGGAAAGGCGCGCGAUACAGGGUGAGAGCCCCGUACACAAAAGCGCACAUGCUGUGAGCUCGAUGAGUAGGGCGGGACACGUGGUAUCCUGUCUGAAUAUGGGGGGACCAUCCUCCAAGGCUAAAUACUCCUGACUGACCGAUAGUGAACCAGUACCGUGAGGGAAAGGCGAAAAGAACCCCGGCGAGGGGAGUGAAACAGAACCUGAAACCGUGUACGUACAAGCAGUGGGAGCCUCUCUUUAUGGGGGGUGACUGCGUACCUUUUGUAUAAUGGGUCAGCGACUUAUAUUCUGUAGCAAGGUUAACCGCAUAGGGGAGCCGAAGGGAAACCGAGUCUUAAUUGGGCGUUAAGUUGCAGGGUAUAGACCCGAAACCCGGUGAUCUAGCCAUGGGCAGGUUGAAGGUUGGGUAACACUAACUGGAGGACCGAACCGACUAAUGUUGAAAAAUUAGCGGAUGACCUGUGGCUGGGGGUGAAAGGCCAAUCAAACCGGGAGAUAGCUGGUUCUCCCCGAAAGCUAUUUAGGUAGCGCCUCGUGAAUUCAUCUCCGGGGGUAGAGCACUGUUUCGGCUAGGGGGCCAUCCCGGCUUACCAACCCGAUGCAAACUGCGAAUACCGGAGAAUGUUAUCACGGGAGACACACGGCGGGUGCUAACGUCCGUCGUGAAGAGGGAAACAACCCAGACCGCCAGCUAAGGUCCCAAAGUCAUGGUUAAGUGGGAAACGAUGUGGGAAGGCCCAGACAGCCAGGAUGUUGGCUUAGAAGCAGCCAUCAUUUAAAGAAAGCGUAAUAGCUCACUGGUCGAGUCGGCCUGCGCGGAAGAUGUAACGGGGCUAAACCAUGCACCGAAGCUGCGGCAGCGACACUUUAGUGUUGUUGGGUAGGGGAGCGUUCUGUAAGCCGUUGAAGGUGUCCUGUGAGGGGUGCUGGAGGUAUCAGAAGUGCGAAUGCUGACAUAAGUAACGAUAAAGCGGGUGAAAAGCCCGCUCGCCGGAAGACCAAGGGUUCCUGUCCAACGUUAAUCGGGGCAGGGUGAGUCGACCCCUAAGGCGAGGCCGAAAGGCGUAGUCGAUGGGAAACGGGUUAAUAUUCCCGUACUUGGUGUUACUGCGAAGGGGGGACGGAGAAGGCUAUGUUGGCCGGGCGACGGUAGUCCCGGUUUAAGCGUGUAGGCUGGUUUUCCAGGCAAAUCCGGAAAAUCAAGGCUGAGGCGUGAUGACGAGGCACCACGGUGCUGAAGCAACAAAUGCCCUGCUUCCAGGAAAAGCCUCUAAGCAUCAGGUAACAUCAAAUCGUACCCCAAACCGACACAGGUGGUCAGGUAGAGAAUACCAAGGCGCUUGAGAGAACUCGGGUGAAGGAACUAGGCAAAAUGGUGCCGUAACUUCGGGAGAAGGCACGCUGACACGUAGGUGAAGUGAUUUACUCAUGGAGCUGAAGUCAGUCGAAGAUACCAGCUGGCUGCAACUGUUUAUUAAAAACACAGCACUGUGCAAACACGAAAGUGGACGUAUACGGUGUGACGCCUGCCCGGUGCCGGAAGGUUAAUUGAUGGGGUCAGCGCAAGCGAAGCUCCUGAUCGAAGCCCCGGUAAACGGCGGCCGUAACUAUAACGGUCCUAAGGUAGCGAAAUUCCUUGUCGGGUAAGUUCCGACCUGCACGAAUGGCGUAAUGAUGGCCAGGCUGUCUCCACCCGAGACUCAGUGAAAUUGAACUCGCUGUGAAGAUGCAGUGUACCCGCGGCAAGACGGAAAGACCCCGUGAACCUUUACUAUAGCUUGACACUGAACAUUGAGCCUUGAUGUGUAGGAUAGGUGGGAGGCUUUGAAGCGUGGACGCCAGUCUGCGUGGAGCCGACCUUGAAAUACCACCCUUUAAUGUUUGAUGUUCUAACGUGGACCCGUAAUCCGGGUUGCGGACAGUGUCUGGUGGGUAGUUUGACUGGGGCGGUCUCCUCCUAAAGAGUAACGGAGGAGCACGAAGGUUGGCUAAUCCUGGUCGGACAUCAGGAGGUUAGUGCAAUGGCAUAAGCCAGCUUGACUGCGAGCGUGACGGCGCGAGCAGGUGCGAAAGCAGGUCAUAGUGAUCCGGUGGUUCUGAAUGGAAGGGCCAUCGCUCAACGGAUAAAAGGUACUCCGGGGAUAACAGGCUGAUACCGCCCAAGAGUUCAUAUCGACGGCGGUGUUUGGCACCUCGAUGUCGGCUCAUCACAUCCUGGGGCUGAAGUAGGUCCCAAGGGUAUGGCUGUUCGCCAUUUAAAGUGGUACGCGAGCUGGGUUUAGAACGUCGUGAGACAGUUCGGUCCCUAUCUGCCGUGGGCGCUGGAGAAUUGAGGGGGGCUGCUCCUAGUACGAGAGGACCGGAGUGGACGCAUCACUGGUGUUCGGGUUGUCAUGCCAAUGGCACUGCCCGGUAGCUAAAUGCGGAAAAGAUAAGUGCUGAAAGCAUCUAAGCACGAAACUUGCCCCGAGAUGAGUUCUCCCUGAGACUUUGAGUCUCCUGAAGGAACGUUAAAGACGAUGACGUUGAUAGGCCGGGUGUGUAAGCGCAGCGAUGCGUUGAGCUAACCGGUACUAAUGAACCGUGAGGCUUAACCUUACAACGCCGAAGCUGUU